UACGGAGGGAGCUAGCGUUGUUCGGAAUUACUGGGCGUAAAGCGCACGUAGGCGGCACGUUAAGUCGGAUGUGAAAAGCCCCGGGCUCAACCCGGGAAGUGCAUUCGAAACUGGCGCGCUUGAAUAUGGAAGAGGGUCGCGGAAUUCCCGGUGUAGAGGUGAAAUUCGUAGAUAUCGGGAGGAACACCAGUGGCGAAGGCGGCGACCUGGGCCAAUAUUGACGCUGAGGUGCGAAAGCGUGGGGAGCAAACAGGG
This 255-nucleotide ribosomal RNA is filed under the name uncultured bacterium. Its description in RNAcentral is "partial 16S ribosomal RNA". It matches the Rfam family "Bacterial small subunit ribosomal RNA", at positions 524 to 777 of the family's 1533-position model. The record is from RNAcentral.